Homo sapiens (human) is the source of this 520-nucleotide long non-coding RNA. Lineage: Eukaryota; Metazoa; Chordata; Mammalia; Primates; Hominidae. The record is from Ensembl.
UCAUUUUUUAUAUGGGACAGUAUGUAUUUUACUACAAACUACAAAGACUCAGAGGAUGGACAGUGACAGUUAAUAUGAUUCCUCUCAUUGCCCAUAGGUAGGCCACCGAUCCAAAUGGAUCCUGAGUUCAGACAGAAUCCUUACCUCCUGAUAAGGUUGAGUGAGGAUUAUUAGGUGAGCCACAGACUAAGGAAUGUUUCAGAAAGCAGUUUUCUAGGUGUAGUUUGGAUUUACAAAAAAAAAAAAAAAAAAGUUCUCCAGGCCAGGCGUGGUGGCUCCUCAAGUCUAGAAGACCCAAGCCUCAGGCUUCCUCCAGAAAAGCAGUCUGGGAGACAGAAUUUACAAAUCAACUGGCUGACCGGACGAAGCCCCGGAAUCCUGUGUCAAUUCGUUUUAAACUAAGGCCAGAUGCUUUUUGGUAGGCUGCCUCUUCCCGUGAGCUGGUGGGUACUUCAAGUCUAUGAUUUGAUUCUCAUUUCUUAAAAAAGGAUGAGUAUGUGUGGUAGUUGGGUAUGGUAUA